UUGUAUUUUUAUUCACCUUUUAAAAAAAUCAGUUAGGGGUAUUUUCUUAUCUAUUGGUUUUUUAAAUCUACUUUGGACAUUAAUCUUUGUCUAUUACAUAUGUUCUACACAAAAUGUAUCACUUUAAUUUAUUUGUGGUUAUUUUGUUAUAUAGAAACAUUUUAAUUUGAUAUAGUUAAAAAUACUACUUUUUAUUUGUUUUUUGUCCCCCCAAAAUCUUCUAUCUCUUAAGGUCAUAAAAAUAGUUUCUAAUAUUUUUUUCAGUCACUUAUUGAAGUUUUUUAAAUAUUUAACUCAGAGAACCAUCAGAUUUUAUUUGGGGUCCAUUGUAAGGUACUGAUAUUUUUUCCAUAUGAUGGCUAAUUGGGUCAGCCUUGAAGAUUUUGUUUCUUCUCUGUUAAUUGAAAGGCUAUUUCUAUCACAAACCAAAUUCUAAUAGUGGAUUCUGUACUCUUUGUUCAGUUUGGUUUGUCUAUUUGUCUAUUUGGGGCUACUCCCACACUGUGUCGAUUACCACAGCACUACCAACUGGAUACAUGGUUGGUUAGUUCAAUGUUUUUUCCAUCUCCUUUCAGAGAUGCAAGUUCAUCUUCAGUCACAGCACAAGGAGACCCGCGCAGCGUGUCUCUGGCACUCCGCUUCAACCCAGGGCAGUGCUGAGAACUUGUCGCGGGUUCUAAAACCCACCCCACAGCCCGGUGACCCUCGUCUCACCAGCCUCCCUGCUGCCACCCACAUCCCCGUCACUGCACUAAUCCUCAAAAUAAAAUGCAGCUGUAACCGGCACACCUGUUUCGGAUCCAUUACAAUAAAUCAGAAUCUAUGUUUAUUUCAGUUACAGGAGCAGGUGAAGGACGGGCUGCAUUUCUGGCAAAGCAACUAGAAAGCAGAAGACAAUUCAAACCGUUAGGAGACAGUUGUGGGUUCUCUGCCAAGCACUGGACCUCAACAGAAGCAGAACAGCAGAUCAUUCCAAAACAGUUUUUGGCUGAGAUUUGAUAAACAGCAGCAUCAUGUGGGGUACAGCUAGGAUGAAGAGAACACACAGAUGGGGUCUUGCUCGGUCACCGGCUAUUCACAGAUGCGGACGUAGCUCACUGCAGCCUCGAACUCCUCACCUCAAGCGAUCCUCCCACCCGGCCUCCUGAAGUGCUGGGAUUACAGGGGUGAGCCACGGCUCCCAGCCCCUCCUUCAUUUAUUCUCUUUCACCGGACCCAUUACAUAGUUGCUGGUUUGUUAAAUGACUGACUCCUCCUAUUAUCCCUGUCCCGUGAGAUCAGGGACCGCAGUGUUGCCAUAUCACCAGGGUCUAGAACAGUCCCUGGCACGUAGUAAAAGCCUUCUACUGGAUGGCUCUAUGCUCUCUCUGGGCCUUGGGUGACCUAUAAAGUAUAAGGAGUGCCCUAGACCAAGUGGAUCUGACCAAUUAAAGCAGGUCUUAGGAAUGGGACUUGAGCAUCAGUUUCGGGUUUUUUUUUUUUUUUUAAGAGUUCCCCAAGGUUAAUAUAUAGGCAGGAAUGGGCCAAUCCUUAGGGCAGGGCUUCUCGUGUGUUAAAUGAGCGCACGAAUCACUUGGGAUCUCGUUAAAAUGUUCUCAUUCGCUAGGUCUGGCCUGGGAGCUGGGAUUCGGCCAUUCUAGCAAGCUCCCAGCACAUGCUGAUGCUGUCGGUUCAAAAUCUAGCUUCAAGCAGCACUGUCUUAAAGUCGCUUCCAGCUCUGUGACACCAACAUUUCUACAAAAGGUGAACAUCCCUUUACUCUCAGGAAAAUAUCAGCUGUCACUCGCCUUGCUGCUCAAUGUGAGCUGAGUUCCGUAGCCAAUGCCUGGCAAUCUGCCCCCACAUGCAAGUCUGUGGGCGUUCGGUGUUGGUUUUGCUUUUUUAAAAAACACUAAUUGCUGGACCCGGCCAGGCAGGGGGAAUGAGCGAAACCAGACAGGAGAACGCCUCUCUCAAAAGCAGGCUCCCAGACCUGUGGUCAGGGAAGAAUCCCAUCACGAUUCGAUUGCUUCUCUUUGUCUGCUGUCUGUCGUCAGGGCCUGGUGCCUGCUGUGUCCCGUGCCCCUCUUGUCUUCUCAAUUGGCCAUCUCAUCGUGCCUCCGCCUGGCUGCUGUCUGCGGUGCCUGGGCGAGUGGAGGUGGCAAUUGUCCGCAAACAGGAGAGCAGGGGACCCGGGGGAAGGCUCAUUAGGGCUGUCAAGGAGGCUCUAACUGGGGAACAGUCUCCACCCUGCCGGAGCAGCAGCCCCAGGGAACGGGGAUGACAAGGACAGUAAGGGAGCAGCCACCUGAUGACUAGCUGCUCUGACACCCUGCCAUUCAAAUGGUGACGGGGCUGCUGACACAGUGGCUUUUUCCUACAGGUCCUGCAAAACGUCUGUUAAAAAAAAAUGAUUGUCUUCACAAUCUGCUUCCACACCAGAACCUCUGACCACCACGAAGCCACAGCGAUUGGCAUCGUUUCCCAGGUUCCGGUGGACCCUGCCCUUGGGGCAAAACUGUACGAACAAAACUGCUGGCCACAUUGUUUUAUCUCCUUCCACAGAUCUUUACUGAAUGUCACCUGAGAGACAGGUGCCAUGCCUGGUGCUCGAGACACCGCAGGGAACAGAUCAGGCAGGUCUCUGCUCCCGGGGCUCUUCCAUUCCAUGGGGUCCUGCUCCAGUUGCGGAGAGUCACAAUACACAAAGACACAAAUAGAUGUACGUUAUGGCUGAGGACGACCCAAGUGUCCACCAACAGGUGACCGGAGUAACAGAUUGUGGUAGAUCCACACGGUGAAAUACUGAAACAUGACUCAACAGUAAAAAGAAUGAGCUGUUGAUACACCAGACAUAAUUACCUGGCAGGCAAGAAGCCUCAUACAAACGAGCGCAUAUUCUAUGAUCUCAUUUGUAUAAAAUUCUAGAAAAUAUGAAUGACUCUGUAGGAACAGGGAGGAGAGAAGUUACUGUUUGAGGAUGGGUGGGCAGAGACAGGCAGGAAGGUGGGAUUGGAAAGGGACUUGUGAAGUCUUUUGGGGGUGACAGAUGUGUUCACAGUCUUGAUUGUGGGGAUGGCUCUGGGGGUAUAUGCAUGUAUCCAAGCUGACCAAACUGGACACUCCACAUCUGUGUAGUUCAUAUGUCAGUGACACUUCAAUAACGCUAUUGAAUGUGUGUGUGUAUGUGUGUGUAAACAUGUCAUGUGCUAAGUGAAAGAUAAAGCGAGAUGAGGAAGGUAGGGUGUGCUGGGGGUAGCCAGUCCUAUUUUAAAUGGCUGGUUGGAGAAGGUCUCAGGUGACUUUGAGCAGAAACCUGAAGGGAGUGAGAGCGCUAGCCUCCGGGCUCCCUGGGAAAGAGCAUUCUAGGGAGCAGGAAUGGCCGGGGCAGGGCAGUGUGCUCCUAGGCCCUAUGCACACCUUUGAGCCCUGUAAUGGCUCAGAACGGAGGAAACCCUCUGGGGUUUGUACUAAACAAUUGCCCCCAAGCUCCACGUGCCUUCUUUGCAUCUGCGCCGUCCACAGGGUAGUGUCCAUGUCCUUGGCCUGAGCCUGGCUUCUUAGUCACACCAGCUCUAGAAUCUGCACUAAGAUUCUCGUUCUAGAAUUCAAAGGUCAAGGCCAGGUGUGGUGGCUCACACUUGUAAUC
This is a non-coding RNA of Microcebus murinus (gray mouse lemur), 3628 nucleotides long. Lineage: Eukaryota; Metazoa; Chordata; Mammalia; Primates; Cheirogaleidae. The record is from RefSeq and is a predicted model, not a curated record.